This 61-nucleotide transfer RNA is filed under the name Anaplecta sp. 8 ZQW-2020. RNAcentral describes it as "tRNA-Glu". It matches the Rfam family "tRNA". From Rfam's summary of the family: Transfer RNA (tRNA) molecules are approximately 80 nucleotides in length. Their secondary structure includes four short double-helical elements and three loops (D, anti-codon, and T loops). Further hydrogen bonds mediate the characteristic L-shaped molecular structure. tRNAs have two regions of fundamental functional importance: the anti-codon, which is responsible for specific mRNA codon recognition, and the 3' end, to which the tRNAs corresponding amino acid is attached (by aminoacyl-tRNA synthetases). tRNAs cope with the degeneracy of the genetic code in two manners: having more than one tRNA (with a specific anti-codon) for a particular amino acid; and 'wobble' base-pairing, i.e. permitting non-standard base-pairing at the 3rd anti-codon position. The record is from RNAcentral. Lineage: Eukaryota; Metazoa; Arthropoda; Insecta; Blattodea; Anaplectidae.
AUUUAUAUAGUUUAAAAAACAUUACAUUUUCAUUGUAAAGUUGGAUUAUAUCCUGUAAAUA